Helianthus annuus (common sunflower) is the source of this 1411-nucleotide long non-coding RNA. RefSeq lists it as uncharacterized. NCBI's taxonomy places the organism in Eukaryota, Viridiplantae, Streptophyta, Magnoliopsida, Asterales, Asteraceae. The transcript has 7 exons. The record is from RefSeq and is a predicted model, not a curated record.
CUAAACUCAUCAACUUUUGAUCUUGACCCUUUAAACUCAAAUAAAAAACUGUAACCCUAAAAUGAGGAAGUUUUGAAAUUUGAACGGUUUUCUAAUUUAAUCUCUCCCACGUUGUCUUCUCCCCACGUUCCUGUAACUUCCAUUACACUUCCGAUUAAAGCAGACCUGAUGUAUCUCAAACCUAGAUUUUUGCCCCAUUCCCCUCCAUCGCUCUCUAUCCAAUUGCUAUACGAGGGUUUCUUCCAAUUCUCCCAUGAAAUUCAACCAACAUGCUCCAUCAAACAACCACACCAAUCUAGUAUGUACAUACACACACAAUCGUAACCAGAUGGAUGCAUAUCAACCCUAAUUUCUUCAGAUGAGGACGCAGCCGACCACCCUCCGGAUUGAAGCCCUAAAAUCAUUGAUGUUUAACCCCGUCGCUAGAAAUCAUCGCCAUGGCAAGUCUCCUUUUGUUUAGAUUCGAAGUUCUCUAUACAGUUUUGCAGGUGCCAUAUUUGGUCUAUGAUUUUGAAGAUUCAGUUUUGUUUGUGGUUUAUGAUUUUGCAUGUUCAGAAGAAGCUUUAGCGCGUUUUUUUUUUAUCAAGCUCACGGUUACCACAAAACUUCAUCUAGCGACCAACACAUGUUCGAUGUUAGCGUCAAAAUUGCCAUUCACGGGUACACCGCUGCUGGUGGCGCGAGUUCUGGUUGGUAGGUUGUCAACAAAAGUGGAGCAUAUUGAGGAAUGAUUGUUCAACCAUCAGAGGUUCAUGCUUUGUAGUGUUCAAAGAAGGGUUAAUUGAUCAGUCAUCACGGGUUCUUUUUUUGUGGUUCAUGCUUACAUAUCAAAUGGAAGCAAUUCUGGGUUUUAGUUCCGCUUGCGAAGUAACACUACGUUUCUGGCUGUUCAAUAAAAGGCAUUGCUCAAGAACUAUUUCUGCUCUCAAUCUUCUGGUAAACUGUAUCUUCCAUAAUUACAUAAAGAUUUGUCAGGUUUGUUUGAACUUUGAACUUUUAUAUCAUACAAUGAUACAAUUUUCUUUCUUAUGCAGGGACGUAUCAUACAAUAAUCUCAGUGGUCCUAUGCCAAAACUAUCGGCCAGAACGUUUAGAAUCAUCGUCAACCCUUUACUUUGCGGGCAGAAUUCUGUGAAUAAUUGUUCAUAUAUUUAUCCCGAACCUCUGGUUUUACAGACCAAUCCUCAUCAAAUGGAAAAAGACAUCAUUUGAGUGUUGCUCACGGGUCAAGCUUCAGUGCUUUGUUCCUAAUAAUCAUAGUCAUCACAUUUCUUAUAUGGUAGCGGUAUAGGAAAAACCAACAAAUAUUCUUUGAUGUUAAAGAGCAAUAUGAUCCGGAGGUAUGUUUGGGCCACUUGAAGAGGUAUACUUUCAAGGGACUUCGGGCUGCAACCGACCAUUUUAAUGCAAA